RNAcentral lists this ribosomal RNA (253 nucleotides) under uncultured bacterium. RNAcentral describes it as "partial 16S ribosomal RNA". It matches the Rfam family "Bacterial small subunit ribosomal RNA", at positions 524 to 776 of the family's 1533-position model. The record is from RNAcentral.
UACGAAGGGGGCUAGCGUUGCUCGGAAUUACUGGGCGUAAAGGGCGCGUAGGCGGAUGUCUAAGUUGGGGGUGAAAGCCCGGGGCUCAACCUCGGAACUGCCUUCAAUACUGGACAUCUUGAGUACGGGAGAGGUGAGUGGAACUCCGAGUGUAGAGGUGAAAUUCGUAGAUAUUCGGAAGAACACCAGUGGCGAAGGCGACUCGCUGGCCCGUUACUGACGCUGAGGCGCGAAAGCGUGGGGAGCAAACAGG